RNAcentral lists this ribosomal RNA (255 nucleotides) under uncultured bacterium. RNAcentral's name for it is "partial 16S ribosomal RNA". It matches the Rfam family "Bacterial small subunit ribosomal RNA", at positions 524 to 778 of the family's 1533-position model. The record is from RNAcentral.
UACGAAGGGGGCUAGCGUUGUCCGGAAUCAUUGGGCGUAAAGCGCGUGUAGGCGGCCCGGUAAGUCGGUUGUGAAAGUCGGGGGCUCAACCCUCGGAUGCCGAUCGAUACUGUCGGGCUAGAGUCCGGAAGAGGCGAGUGGAAUUCCUGGUGUAGCGGUGAAAUGCGUUGAGAUCGGAAGGAACGCCCGUGGCGAAAGCGAGCUCCUGGACGUUUUCUGACGCUGAGACGCGAAAGCCAGGGGAGCGAAACGGGG